This 530-nucleotide ribosomal RNA is filed under the name uncultured bacterium. RNAcentral describes it as "partial 16S ribosomal RNA". It matches the Rfam family "Bacterial small subunit ribosomal RNA", at positions 355 to 900 of the family's 1533-position model. The record is from RNAcentral.
UGGGGAAUAUUGGACAAUGGGGGCAACCCUGAUCCAGCAAUGCCGCGUGUGUGAAAAAGGUCUUCGGAUUGUAAAGCACUUUCGACGGGGAUGAUGAUGACGGUACCCGUAGAAGAAGCCCCGGCUAACUUCGUGCCAGCAGCCGCGGUAAUACGAAGGGGGCUAGCGUUGCUCGGAAUGACUGGGCGUAAAGGGCGUGUAGGCGGUUUACACAGUCAGAUGUGAAAUCCCCGGGCUUAACCUGGGAGCUGCAUUUGAUACGUGUAGACUAGAGUGUGAGAGAGGGUUGUGGAAUUCCCAGUGUAGAGGUGAAAUUCGUAGAUAUUGGGAAGAACACCGGUGGCGAAGGCGGCAACCUGGCUCAUGACUGACGCUGAGGCGCGAAAGCGUGGGGGAGCAAACAGGAUUAGAUACCCUGGUAGUCCACGCUGUAAACGAUGUGUGCUAGAUGUUGGGCUAACUUUGUUAUUCAGUGUCGCAGUUAACGCGUUAAGCACACCGCCUGGGGAGUACGGCCGCAAGGUUGAAAC